Molecule: long non-coding RNA, 1643 nt
Organism: Acanthopagrus latus (yellowfin seabream)
Lineage: Eukaryota; Metazoa; Chordata; Actinopteri; Spariformes; Sparidae
Exons: 5
Source: RefSeq, a predicted model, not a curated record
GCUCUGAUCCUGUGUCUCCCGCUUUCAUCUCUCCAUUGUGUCUUUCUUGUGUUAAUUCCCCGAGUCAUUCCAGACAGACCACGGAUGUCUGCAGAGGACGAGAAAAGAGGCUCUGCUGGAUGGAGGCCAUGCAGAGUGACAAUGAGGAAGACGGGUUAGAACACCCGUCACCCUAAUGUCUCCCCGCCUUAUCAUGAGGAGCUCAUAAAGAUCCGCUCCCUUCUCCUCAAGUAGGCCAAUAUCCAUGUCAGCCACAUGAAGGAAAGUUAGAUCCAUCCGAUGCACUCCUCCAGAUCCCCGCAUAUUCUGACUACAUUGGAGUCUAAAGAUAUUUCCUUGAUUUCACCCCACUAGAUCAACCUAUGCUUCUGUAAACUGAGCUAGAAGGGAGCGUCGAUAUGCAGAGCGGCACUGAGGGAGGGACUCAUAAACCUCUGUUAAUACUGCAUUAUUAUUAUUGUCCUCAUUUCAGCUGCAUUGUACAUUAGUUCUGCACAAAAUUUUAUCAAUUAAUGUAGCCUUUGAAUGUUUUUAGUUUUAUAGAUGAAGAGUAACAGUAAUUUUUCAAAAAGCACGAUUGAAUGUCAUGAUUUGUCCCCUGCAAUAAUUUCUACAUUGAUUUAACUUCUCUCUUAUCACUAAUUCAGUGGUGCACAUUUUUCUCUCCUUGUGUUCUUUUAAAAUAAAAUGAGGAAUCUAGAUGUAAUGGUUAUAGUUUUAUAUGAAAAAUAAUUUCCCCUGUGUUUUAAAAUAACUGACCUUACCUUGUGUGCUUUGAGUGCACGUAUGUAGGUUUGGGAAAAACAAAGCGUGGCCUCGAUGUGCUUUUAUCUGAGAGUUUAGAGACCUUGUCUGUGUCACUGCGAGGCUAAAAACCAAGAGCUUAUUUUAAAUUGUCCGUGUUUGUAUUAAAGGCGAGCAGGUAUGAGUGGUGCUGGGCCUGGAGUGGGCGUGGGUGAGGGGCCCAAUGUGGAAAACGUUGUUCCCCGGUCCAUCGUGCCUAAUGACUGCCCUGCCAAAACAUGUUUUAUUUCUUUCCUUCCCUUUCCAAAGGGGCAGUUAGAAUUAAGAGAAAACGGAAGUUCCUUGUAGUUGCUUUAAGAUGUUUUAUAGGGUAUAUAAUUGCAAUAAUUCACUAAUACAGAAGUUACAUAAGUGUAUGUCAAAGCACUGUUUACCUAAAAAAUGAAUACCUUUAGUUUUGUUCAGUGCUCAUUUCCAGUCAGCAGUGCAUGUCAUUACUCUGAACAGCUUUAGUUCUAUUUAACAAUUAUCACGGUUGAUUCAAGCACUUCAGAUUGUAAUUGCAUUGCAUUUAGUUAACUAUGCAGUCAGCUUUCUGAAGCACAACAUAUAGACAUAAAUACCACUUCUGUCUCAGAUAUAUUAUACAUGUAGCCUUGUCGCUUACAGACGAUCCUAAAACUGUGAUCACAUUUUAGGUUCAUUAACAUGCUUUGACAUGGGCGAGCUUUGGCACUUAUAGAUUUGAAUAACAAUGCCAGCAGUCAACAUUGCUGGAGCUUGUAGAUGUAUUAGGAGUUUUAAAAUGCUUUUCCAAUGUCACUUUUGUGACGAUCAGUACAAUUGCUGUUGCAUAAAGCCCUUUAGAAACAUGAAUUCCACUGUGAUUGACAAGUGAA